Rosa rugosa (rugosa rose) is the source of this 1584-nucleotide long non-coding RNA. RefSeq lists it as uncharacterized. The transcript is spliced from 6 exons. The record is from RefSeq and is a predicted model, not a curated record. NCBI's taxonomy places the organism in Eukaryota, Viridiplantae, Streptophyta, Magnoliopsida, Rosales, Rosaceae.
AACAUAAAUAAGAAAAUAAAUACGGAAUCAUUGAGGAAAACAGAAAUUGCCGGCAGUUAGCACGAUCUCCUCGAAGAAGAACGACUGCCGGGGCGCACGAUUGGAGACGGAAGGCGGACGUGGGAGAUGAUUGGAGUGGAUAUGGCUUCCUUAUUAUUCACCCCACUCUCAAUUUACGGUUCAUAUAAAAGGAGAAGGGAAAGAGGAGCAGAGCAAAAUCAAACCCAGAAAGAGGAAAAAAUUAGAAUCAAAUCGGAGACUUUCAGAUUUCGUGUUCCAUUGAUUUGGGUAUCCUAUUUCCAUUGAUGUGGGCAGAGCUGAUUCUCAAUCAAACCCAAAAGGCAGAGUAAUAGGUAUCAACUCGAGCGACAGUGUUGCGGAUUCAGUAAAGGUCAGCCUUGAUCAUUGCUUCCAGAUUUUGAAUUUCAGUUAUUUGAGUUUUCGUUUUCGAUUGAAGUUCCAUGUGUUAAUUAUUACAUUGGGUAAUUUCAAAGAGUGGGUGAUUGCCAAAUGCUGCUUCGCUUUCUUUCAAUUUUUGCAGGUAAAUGUAUGGGAGAUUUCGGAACAUUGUGAAAGUUGGUGUCGCCUAAUAUUAGUUGCAGGUACCUGUAAAGUAUUUGAUUGGGGACUUGAAAGGAAAAGCGCAAGACCAGUCUUCUUGGUUCGUCUUUCUUGGAGCAUGUUAAGGAGAUAUUGGAACCUGAUACUCUUAUUGCUGCAGCGCCUUGGGUGUACUACCCAAUAAUUGAAAAGUAUUCAAUAUAUUUGACAUAAUCUUCUAUUGUAACAGGCUCUUCAGCGCUUCCAAACCGAGCAUGGAAAAGGGUUUCCAACUCAUUUCUCCCAGAUAGGGGCUCCUGACUUCUAUACCAUUCAAAGGCUGACAAGGUUGGAAAAAGCUUCAUUUUUUUUAUCACUGCUCUGAACAAGACAGGUCUGAUGGUUUUGAAUUCAUUGUAUUAAAUCCACUUCCUACUCGCAUUAUGCUCUUUAUGAUCUUCGCUCAUGAUUCAAUUGCCAUGUAUUUGGCUAUUGAACCUCAAAGUUUAUGUUUUCAUGUGAUCAAUCAAUGCAGCAAGCUUCAAGGACGCUAUAAACACAGACAUGCCAAAUUACUGCAACCAUCAAGUAAAGAUGCGGCCUCAAGUAAGGCCUUGAUUAGAAUUUGAUCUAAUUCAAACUCGCCGUAUUUGAUUCCUUAUUGAUUGUUAUGGGACAAGUUUCUUCAUCACGCCCUCAGCCAUCGAAUGAUGGCCAGGAACCAUCCCGUGUUCAUGCACCCAAUGCAGAAAGGCAAAGUACAAAUACCUCUCAAGGAGAGAGGAGACAAUCAGUGAGUUCUUCAGAAGCUAAUUUAUCGCAGUCUCACCCACUGGAUGAAGAUCAGGUUAAUUUGCAUGAUACAUUGUUUCGUUUGUUACAUGUAAACAAUUGAUUGAAAGCUUCAUAGCAGGGAUUUGGGAUUUUAGGAGCUGAUGAAAUGCUUAGUUUGUACCUGUAUUAAUGCAAGAUGAAUAUUGGUUGCUGGUGUUAUUUCAAAAAAGAAUUACAUGUGAAUUUCAAAGGCUUAUGAGGUUAUUGAAA